AAUACGUAGGGUGCGAGCGUUGUCCGGAAUUAUUGGGCGUAAAGAGCUCGUAGGCGGUUUGUUGCGUCUAUCGUGAAAACCUGCGGCUUAACUGUGGGCUUGCGGUGGAUACGGGCAGACUUGAGUUCGGUAGGGGAGACUGGAAUUCCUGGUGUAGCGGUGAAAUGCGCAGAUAUCAGGAGGAACACCGGUGGCGAAGGCGGGUCUCUGGGCCGAUACUGACGCUGAGGAGCGAAAGCGUGGGGAGCGAACAG
Molecule: ribosomal RNA, 254 nt
Filed under: uncultured prokaryote
Description: partial 16S ribosomal RNA
Rfam family: Bacterial small subunit ribosomal RNA
Source: RNAcentral